This 253-nucleotide ribosomal RNA is filed under the name uncultured bacterium. Its description in RNAcentral is "partial 16S ribosomal RNA". It matches the Rfam family "Bacterial small subunit ribosomal RNA", at positions 524 to 776 of the family's 1533-position model. The record is from RNAcentral.
UACGUAGGGUGCAAGCGUUGUCCGGAAUUAUUGGGCGUAAAGAGCUCGUAGGCGGUUUGUCGCGCCGAAUGUGAAAACCCGGGGCUCAACCCCGGGCCUGCAUUCGAUACGGGCAGACUAGAGUUCGGUAGGGGAGUCUGGAAUUCCUGGUGUAGCGGUGAAAUGCGCAGAUAUCAGGAGGAACACCGGUGGCGAAGGCGGGACUCUGGGCCGAUACUGACGCUGAGGAGCGAAAGCGUGGGGAGCGAACAGG